Molecule: ribosomal RNA, 305 nt
Filed under: uncultured bacterium
Lineage: Bacteria
Description: bacterial SSU rRNA
Rfam family: Bacterial small subunit ribosomal RNA
Source: RNAcentral
CCUACGGGGGGCAGCAGUCGGGAAUAUUGCGCAAUGGAGGAAACUCUGACGCAGUGACGCCGCGUAUAGGAAGAAGGUUUUCGGAUUGUAAACUAUUGUCGUUAGGGAAGAUAAAAGACAGUACCUAAGGAGGAAGCUCCGGCUAACUACGUGCCAGCAGCCGCGGUAAUACGGAGGAUGCGAGCGUUAUCCGGAUUUAUUGGGCUUAAAGGGUGCGCAGGCGGCCCGUUAAGUCAGCGGUAAAAGCCCGGGGCUCAACCCCGGCGAGCCGUUGAAACUGGCGGGCUGGAGUUGGGGAGAAGUAG